UGCAAGUCGUACGCACAGCAAUGUGAGUGGCGCAAGGGUGAGUAAUGCGAAGGUAACCAACCCUGGAGUUGGGCAUAGCCGCGGGAAACUGCGGGUAAUACCCAGCGAUGUCGCGAGAUGGCAUCAUCUUGCGACCAAAGGUGUGAUUCCGCUCUAGGACGGGCCUUCGUGGUAUUAGGUAGUUGGAGAGGUAACGGCUCACCAAGCCGACGAUGCCUACCGGGUGUGAGAGCAUGACCCGGCACACUGGAACUGAGACACUGUCCAGACACCUACGGGUGGCUGCAGUCGAGAAUCUUCGGCAAUGGGCGAAAGCCUGACCGAGCGACGCCGCGUGAGGGAAGAAGGCCUUCGGGUUGUAAACCUCUUUCGUAGAGGAGGAAGGGGCCGUGCAGAGCGGUCUUUGACCUAUUCUAGGAAGAAGCUUGGGCUAAGUUCGUGCCAGCAGCCGCGGUAAGACGAACCAAGCGAACGUUAUUCGGAAUUACUGGGCUUAAAGCGCGUGUAGGCGGAUGACCACGUCAGUCGUUGAAGUCCCCCGGCUCAACCGGGGAACAGGCGCUGAUACGAGUUGUCUGGAGGUGGGUAGGGGAGACUGGAACUUCCGGUGGAGCGGUGAAAUGCGUUGAGAUCGGAAGGAACGCCCGCGGCGAAAGCGAGUCUCUGGACCCAUUCUGACGCUGAGACGCGAAAGCCAGGGGAGCAAACGGGAUUAGAUACCCCGGUAGUCCUGGCUGUAAACAUUGGGCACUGGGUAGUGGAACCGCCGAUGGUUUCACUGCCGCAGGGGAAACCGUGAAGUGCCCCGCCUGGGGAGUAUGGGUCGCAAGGCUGAAACUCAAAGGAAUUGACGGGGGGCUCACACAAGCAGUGGAGUAUGUGGGCUUAAUUCGAGGCUACGCGAAGAAACCUCCACCUAGGCUUGACAUGCAGGAAUUUAGCCG
This 944-nucleotide ribosomal RNA is filed under the name uncultured Planctomycetaceae bacterium. Its description in RNAcentral is "bacterial SSU rRNA". It matches the Rfam family "Bacterial small subunit ribosomal RNA", at positions 56 to 1002 of the family's 1533-position model. The record is from RNAcentral. Lineage: Bacteria; Pseudomonadati; Planctomycetota; Planctomycetia; Planctomycetales; Planctomycetaceae.